This is a long non-coding RNA of Microtus oregoni (creeping vole), 732 nucleotides long. RefSeq lists it as uncharacterized. The record is from RefSeq and is a predicted model, not a curated record. NCBI's taxonomy places the organism in Eukaryota, Metazoa, Chordata, Mammalia, Rodentia, Cricetidae. The transcript has 4 exons.
GCGAUGGGCGGGGCCAGCGCCUCGUUCCUCGGGCUUGUGAAGUGUCAGAUCUGACUCAGUCCCAGGGUCUUGGCGCGGCUGAACGCCUCUAGGGUAGCAGAGGGCCUUUUCUUUUCAUGUCGCGCCACACCACAAGAUAGCCAGUGCCUCCCUAUGGCGGCUGCCUGUCUCUGCUACACAAGGUGACUGCGAUGCUCCUGCUCUUCCAGCUGGGAAAGAUUCACGCAGAGGACAAGUGGAGAGGAAAUGCCCCAGGCAUUUGAACCUUGUGAGCCCUUCCUAACUGGAAGAAUAUACCUGUGCAGAUACUUCGGAAUUUGGACAUCUGUUUCUGGGAAGGAAAGAAAACCUCAAAUGCACCUAUGGGAGCUUUCUGAUUAUCCUGAGGGUACAGGAGUCUAAGAACAUCUUCUCAGACCUGCCCCAGUGUCAGGCUCAGGUCCUGACCUUCCCCUCUGGUAGAACUGAAGUACACAGCAGCCUCGCUCCAGCUCCAAACACUCGAGCACUGGGCAAGCACUGGACAAGCACAGGGUUCUAGACUUCACGUUUAUCCGUCUCCUCUCCUCUUCCCACCUGCAGUGUCCUAGCUCCUGCCUGUGGACAGGGAAGUAAGUGCUUAGCUUCUGCUCCAGUACCACAUCUGUCUGCCUGCCUGCCACCACACUUCCUGCCAUGAUGAUCACGGAUUCGCCCUCUGAAACUGUAAUUAAGCCCCAAUUAAAUGCUUGC